AACCACAUCCAGCAGGGGGUGCUGUUUUUAUUUACAGUGGAAUCUCACCCUAAGGUGUACAAUUCGUAAUUUCGCUGUGAAAACACUGUUUCAUCGUAUUGAAUUGAGGUGGAUUGCGGUGAACUUGAGGGAUUGCAAUGAACUUGAGUGAACUUCUUUUUACACUUGUGUGACAAAAGUAUU
Hippocampus comes (tiger tail seahorse) is the source of this 183-nucleotide long non-coding RNA. RefSeq lists it as uncharacterized. Lineage: Eukaryota; Metazoa; Chordata; Actinopteri; Syngnathiformes; Syngnathidae. The transcript is spliced from 2 exons. The record is from RefSeq and is a predicted model, not a curated record.